RNAcentral lists this long non-coding RNA (929 nucleotides) under Lathyrus oleraceus (garden pea). RNAcentral's name for it is "Pisum sativum (pea) long non-coding RNA (PSAT_LNC020531)". The record is from RNAcentral. Lineage: Eukaryota; Viridiplantae; Streptophyta; Magnoliopsida; Fabales; Fabaceae.
UAUCAACAUUCCUUCUCUUUUCUACUUCAUUCGUAUUGUCACUUCCUCUCUUUUCAAGAACAACUAUUGUCACAAGAAACUCAUCCACUCUACUGAUUAUUCUUCCUUGCAUCAUUUCAUAAGGUAACUAGUUAUUUCUGGUUCUAGAUGAACAUUCAACAAUAUACUUGAGUCAUACAAAAAUGUCAUAAUAAACUUUUUUCUGAAAUCACGUGGGUAUGAAUGUUUCGUCUUAUAUCUGGUUUGUGAAUAACAUUCAUCAAAUCUUGUAUUUCCAAAUAUUUAUUUUGUUUUUCUUGCAUUUCCGAUUUGAUUCCAAAUAUUUUUGUUUGAAUAUAGUUGUUUCUGGUUUAUGUUCAUGUUUUUUCAGAAGCAAUGUUUAUGUUGUUUAGUUAAUGAAAUCUUUAUGGUUUCUGGUUUUUUAAAGUUAAGGAAAUCUUUAUGUAUUUCCUAUUUUCAUGUUUUUGUUUUCAGUUCAUUCUCUAUGUCUCUUUAAAUGUUUUUAUCAGAAACCCUUUUUAUUAACUCUGCUUUCUGCUUUCGGUCCUUUGUUGUUGAGUAUUCCUUAUUAAACAUGUGAAAUAGUUAUGUUUUAGCCAUUUGAAGUUAGGUGACAAAGACCGUUAGCAAUUUCAUAUGUGACUUUUCAGAUCAACAACACACCAUGUCAAGACCACCUAUUAUGAUUUGUGAUUUGAACGUAGGUGACAAUGUUUAGAAGAUUGCCAUUCGCGUGGUUGAUCUGUGGAAUGGACAACAACAUGUUGAAUGUCUUAUCCAAGAUUCAAAGGUAUCCAUUCAUGUUGGCAUUAUGUUCUUGAAAUCUCUAUCAACUUAAUAUUCAUCUUAUGUAUUCUUUUUCAUUUAUAGGGGGACAAAAUCCAUGUCGUCACCCGGAACCGAGACUUUGAAAUAUGGAAUCAAACCUU